RNAcentral lists this long non-coding RNA (233 nucleotides) under Medicago truncatula (barrel medic). RNAcentral's name for it is "long non-coding RNA (MTRU_LNC004337)". Lineage: Eukaryota; Viridiplantae; Streptophyta; Magnoliopsida; Fabales; Fabaceae. The record is from RNAcentral.
ACAAUCAUUCGAAAGUGCCGAAAAGAUCGAAUUGACUCAGAUCCGCUUACCCUUCGAGCAAGAAAAGAAAGAAGAACUCGCUUUCGCUAGGCACCAAGGCUUCUUUGACUUCUAACUUCCCUUGAGCCUGGUUAAGAAAGGAAAGCCGGCCCAAUCCCAGCUUCUGAAAAAAGAGAAAAGAUCACAGCGGCAAGAUCUAAGAUCCUUGAUUUAAGUGAAGGAAUAAAACCAAC